GUUUGCGAUCAUACCAGCACUAAUGCACCGGAUCCCAUCAGAACUCCGCAGUUAAGCGUGCUUGGGCGAGAGUAGUACUAGGAUGGGUGACCCCCUGGGAAGUCCUCGUGUUGCAACCCC
This 120-nucleotide ribosomal RNA is filed under the name Helianthus annuus (common sunflower). The record is from RNAcentral. Lineage: Eukaryota; Viridiplantae; Streptophyta; Magnoliopsida; Asterales; Asteraceae. RNAcentral also lists the same sequence under 1 other name.